GACCGAGGGUGCAAACGUUGUUCGGAAUUACUGGGCGUAAAGCGUGUGUAGGCGGUUUGGUAAGUCGGAUGUGAAAGCCCCGGGCUCAACCCGGGAAGUGCACUCGAUACUGCCAGGCUAGAGUAUCGGAGAGGUUGGUGGAAUUCUCGGUGUAGAGGUGAAAUUCGUAGAUAUCGAGAGGAACACCGGUGGCGAAGGCGGCCAACUGGACGAAUACUGACGCUGAGACUCGAAAGCGUGGGGAGCAAACAGG
This 253-nucleotide ribosomal RNA is filed under the name uncultured bacterium. RNAcentral's name for it is "partial 16S ribosomal RNA". It matches the Rfam family "Bacterial small subunit ribosomal RNA", at positions 524 to 776 of the family's 1533-position model. The record is from RNAcentral.